RNAcentral lists this ribosomal RNA (387 nucleotides) under uncultured Leptolinea sp. RNAcentral's name for it is "bacterial SSU rRNA". It matches the Rfam family "Bacterial small subunit ribosomal RNA", at positions 919 to 1382 of the family's 1533-position model. The record is from RNAcentral. Lineage: Bacteria; Bacillati; Chloroflexota; Anaerolineae; Anaerolineales; Anaerolineaceae.
CCCCGCACAAGCAGCGGAGCGUGUGGUUUAAUUCGAUGUUACACGAAGAACUUUACCAGGGUUUGACAUGCAAGUGGUAGGAAGCCGAAAGGUGACCGACCCUUCGGGGAGCUUGCACAGGUGCUGCAUGGCUGUCGUCAGCUCGUGUCGUGAGAUGUUCGGUUAAGUCCGCUAACGAGCGCAACCCUCGCUGUGUGUUAUAUGUGUCACACGGGACUGCCGGUCUUAAGCCGGAGGAAGGUGGGGAUGAUGUCAAGUCAGCAUGGCCUUUAUAUCCUGGGCUACACACACGCUACAAUGGCCAACACAAUAGGUUGCUAAGCCGCGAGGUGGCGCCAAUCCAUAAAGUUGGUCAGCCAUACUGCGUUGAAUACGUUCCCGGGGCUU